AGGAAGAGAGUUGGAUGACAGCCUGUGAGGAGAUGCUCCGGCGGCCGCUCGUGUGCUCGCUGGGUGUGGACCCGGUACCUCUCUGUGAAGUGGCAGCUGAGGAGACUCUGGGACUCACCGUGGCCAACAAAGAGCCCAGGGAUUUUUCAUCUUCCAGAUUGAUUUCAGCGGCUGAAAACAGCACUAUGCUCAUUUCUCAUACAGAAUCAGAAACCUGCUGAUGUCUGAAGCAAGUUGGGUUGCUGCUACUUGGAAAGGGUUUGUCAAUGAGGCAACUCAGAUUCCAAUUCCCUGAGCCAGUGAAACAGACACACCGCACAGUGGGAGGAGGAUGCAGAGACGGUGGAUGUGUUCCAGCAGCAGACGGGAGGUGUCCCCUGAGAAGGGAAACCUCUACUUUUGUCCUGCAGAACUCUGCUCCUCCGGACCAAGAUGACAUUCUCAGGUCCUGUCUCAAGCCUGACAUCACACACUCCUGAAUGGACUACCACCUGGACCCAGUGAACUCAAGCUGGGCGCACACUGGAGAGGGGGUUCUGAGAGCUCACGCCCAGGGACCGUACGUUGUGCUGUGGAGAACUACAGUUCUUGUUCUUGGUGCCAGGACAAAGCCCCGUGCUGGAUGUCUGGGAAAUGGCGUAGGUCUGCUGAAGCCAACGGACAGGCUGUCUACCAUUCAAGGAACUCUUAAUGUUAACACCACCUAAAUCGUAAGUGGCCAAAUGUGAUUACCUUUUCGGUCAGUUCUACCAGGCUGUCACUCUGCACUGGAUCUGGGCAACAGAAGAGGAGCAGAUAGAUAGGAAGAAGAAAGGACACGAAGGAUUACGAAUCAGCUCCUCUAUGCUGGACACAAAUCAUGGUACAUCCUUAACCCUAAGAACUAGGAAUAAUGACAUCCAUUUUAGGGUCAUGCAAAAUGAAAACCGGGGUGGGCAGGGAAGGGCUGUCCAAGGAAGACAAAUAAAAAUGUGCACAGUUGGGUCUUAAGACUCCAAACCCGUUCUUC
Long non-coding RNA from Callorhinus ursinus (northern fur seal), 1009 nucleotides. RefSeq lists it as uncharacterized. The record is from RefSeq and is a predicted model, not a curated record. Lineage: Eukaryota; Metazoa; Chordata; Mammalia; Carnivora; Otariidae.